UACGUAGGGGGCAAGCGUUGUCCGGAAUCAUUGGGCGUAAAGAGCGCGUAGGCGGUCCGGUAAGUCCGCUGUGAAAGUCCAGGGCUCAACCCUGGGAUGCCGAUCGAUACUGCCGGACUAGAGUCCGGAAGAGGCGAGUGGAAUUCCCGGUGUAGCGGUGAAAUGCGCAGAUAUCGGGAGGAACACCAAUGGCGAAGGCAGCUCGCUGGGACGGUACUGACGCUGAGACGCGAAAGCGUGGGGAGCAAACAGG
Molecule: ribosomal RNA, 253 nt
Filed under: uncultured bacterium
Lineage: Bacteria
Description: partial 16S ribosomal RNA
Rfam family: Bacterial small subunit ribosomal RNA
Source: RNAcentral